Molecule: ribosomal RNA, 253 nt
Filed under: uncultured bacterium
Lineage: Bacteria
Description: partial 16S ribosomal RNA
Rfam family: Bacterial small subunit ribosomal RNA
Source: RNAcentral
UACAGAGGUGGCAAGCGUUGUUCGGAAUUACUGGGCGUAAAGGGCGCGUAGGUGGCCUUCUUAGUCAGACGUGAAAUCCCCGGGCUUAACUCGGGAACUGCGUCUGAUACUGGAAGGCUGGAGUUCGGGAGAGGAAUGUGGAAUUCCAGGUGUAGCGGUGAAAUGCGUAGAUAUCUGGAGGAAUACCGGUGGCGAAGGCGGCAUCCUGGACCGGCAUUGACGCUGAGGAGCGAAAGCUAGGGGAGCAAACAGG